This 507-nucleotide ribosomal RNA is filed under the name uncultured bacterium. RNAcentral's name for it is "partial 16S ribosomal RNA". It matches the Rfam family "Bacterial small subunit ribosomal RNA", at positions 29 to 523 of the family's 1533-position model. The record is from RNAcentral.
AUUGAACGCUGGCGGCAGGCCUAACACAUGCAAGUCGGACGGUAGCACAGGGGAGCUUGCUCCUCGGGUGACGAGUGGCGGACGGGUGAGUAAUGUCUGGGGAUCUGCCCGAUAGAGGGGGAUAACCACUGGAAACGGUGGCUAAUACCGCAUAAUGUCGCAAGACCAAAGAGGGGGACCUUCGGGCCUCUCACUAUCGGAUGAACCCAGAUGGGAUUAGCUAGUAGGCGGGGUAACGGCCCACCUAGGCGACGAUCCCUAGCUGGUCUGAGAGGGCGGACGGACACACUGGAAGUGAGACACGGUCCAGACGCAUACGGGAGGCAGCAGUGGGGAAUUGUUCACAAUGGGCGCAAGCCUGAUGACGCAACGCCGCGUGGAGGAUGAAGACUUUCGGGUCGUAAACUCCUUUCGACCGAGAUGAAUGUCCCUCGACCCAACACGUCGAGGGAGUGACAGUAUCGAGGGAAGAAGCCCCGGCUAACUCUGUGCCAGCAGCCGCCGUAA